RNAcentral lists this ribosomal RNA (550 nucleotides) under uncultured bacterium. RNAcentral's name for it is "partial 16S ribosomal RNA". It matches the Rfam family "Bacterial small subunit ribosomal RNA", at positions 355 to 895 of the family's 1533-position model. The record is from RNAcentral.
UGGGGAAUAUUGCACAAUGGGCGCAAGCCUGAUGCAGCCAUGCCGCGUGUGUGAAGAAGGCCUUCGGGUUGUAAAGCACUUUCAGCGAGGAGGAAGGUGGUGAACUUAAUACGUUCAUCAAUUGACGUUACUCGCAGAAGAAGCACCGGCUAACUCCGUGCCAGCAGCCGCGGUAAUACGGAGGGUGCAAGCGUUAAUCGGAAUUACUGGGCGUAAAGCGCACGCAGGCGGUUUGUUAAGUCAGAUGUGAAAUCCCCGGGCUCAACCUGGGAACUGCAUUUGAAACUGGCAAGCUAGAGUCUCGUAGAGGGGGGUAGAAUUCCAGGUGUAGCGGUGAAAUGCGUAGAGAUCUGGAGGAAUACCGGUGGCGAAGGCGGCCCCCUGGACGAAGACUGACGCUCAGGUGCGAAAGCGUGGGGAGCAAAACAGGAUUAGAUACCCUGGUAGUCCACGCUGUAAACGAUGUCGAUUUUGGAGGUUGUGCCCUUGAGGCGUGGCUUCCGGAGCUAACGCGUUAAAUCGACCGCCUGGGGAGUACGGCCGCAAGGUU